UACGAAGGGUGCGAGCGUUGUUCGGAAUUAUUGGGCGUAAAGGGUUCGUAGGCGGGAACGUAAGUUGAGUGUGAAAACCCCGGGCUCAACCUGGGACGUGCAUUCAAAACUGUGUUUCUUGAGUGUUGGAGAGGGUGGUGGAAUUGCUGGUGUAGGAGUGACAUCCGUAGAGAUCAGCAGGAACGCCGGAGGCGAAAGCGACCACCUGGCCAAACACUGACGCUGAGGAGCGAAAGCGUGGGGAGCAAACAGG
This 253-nucleotide ribosomal RNA is filed under the name uncultured bacterium. Its description in RNAcentral is "partial 16S ribosomal RNA". It matches the Rfam family "Bacterial small subunit ribosomal RNA", at positions 524 to 776 of the family's 1533-position model. The record is from RNAcentral.